This 7949-nucleotide long non-coding RNA is filed under the name Marmota monax (woodchuck). The record is from RNAcentral. Lineage: Eukaryota; Metazoa; Chordata; Mammalia; Rodentia; Sciuridae.
UCAUUUGUGCCCAGCCAGACUGCGGCAAAAAUUUUAAAUUUUCAAACUAAAAAAAAGCAAUAUUUUUUAAAAAGCUAAUUAAGUUGUAUGUCUCUAUAUUGUUUUUCCUAAAGAGCCUUGGAUAUGCCUGCUUAUUUGAUGUCAUCCAUAUCUCGCCUCAGACAUAAAGAAACAAUCAAAUCAGUAGGCUCAGAUGAGAUCUUAAAUGAGAUAAGUAUUUAACACUUCUAUAAAGUAUACUAUUGAUUGUUUGCUGUGAAUUGCAACUGGUUCCUAAUUGGCCUCUCUAUCUCUAUUUUCUUUGACUUCCAAUUUACUUUCCUAACAUAGUGAAGAUCUUCUUUAAAAAAUUCUAAGCUUUUUAUUCUCUGCUCUCAGUGUCUGUAGAACAAGGUACAAUCUCCUUGAAAUGGCUACCAAAUCUUCAAUCUUCUGGCCCUUGUCCACCAACCAGCCUCAGUCCUGUCCACCCCACAGCCAAGUCUCACUGCUCCUUGUUCUACAAGGCCUCCUCUGGGUUCUUCUGCAUGCAGUGGCCUCCCCACCUUCUCAACCAGUAUUUUCUCUGUGAUGUUCUCCUUGUUCUAACCUCAGAAACUUAAUCAUUCCUUGACUUUAACAUAUUUCUUCUGUUUUAUUUCUCAUGUUCCUUCAUUCUUAUUGGUUUACUAUUUAUUUUCCCCUGGUAAACUUUAAAACUCUUAAGGGAAAGUUCUAUUUAUCUUUGGGCCCUGGAAAGUAGCUGAUGUGGAAUAGGAUGAAUGGAUGUUCAUUAAGUCAGUGAAUGAAUACUGGCCAUUUGGAAAACUAGUUGCAAUCCAGUUGCCAAGUAAUUUCCUAGCUUUCUACCUGUACCAACUACGUAAAAUAUUUCAAAAAUCUAGUCAAUGUUUAUUAUGUGUUUCAGGAUACCAUACAUCCUUUUAUAGAAGUUUCUUUUCAGCAUACAGUAUACCAAACCAGUACUGCAAAUGGAUCUCAUCCUUGCUGGAAUGAAGAAAUUGAAGUAGAUUUUAUGUAAGUUGGUCCAUUUUCCUGAAGCUUUUUGAUUUUUUAAAAAGAAAAAGAAAAUUGUUUUCCUAAGCCAUUAAUUAAAAAUAAUGAUACACUUUAAACUUUGAAAUUGUGAAAUAUUUAAUUCAUAUAAACUAAUAUACAUAAUAUAUAGUAUAUAUAAGUUCUGAAGAUAGAUAAUAAAAUAAAUACCUGCAUCCAGAUUUAAAAAAUAGAAUGUUACCAAUUCCUUAGAAGGCCCUCUGUACCAUUACUUAACUAUCCCUUUCCCAGAGGUAAAAAAAAAAAAAAAAACAUGAAUUUGUGUUUGUCAUUCUCUCUCUUCCUUUAUUUUACUUCAUACAUAUUUUCCCCAACAUUUAUUUAUGCAUGUUUUCAGCUUUAUACAAAUUGAGUCACAAUUAUAUAUUCUUUUGUAAUCUUGUUAAUUUACUCAAAUUAUUUUGAGAGAUUCAUCCUUGUUCAUAAUUAUGGUCUAGCUGUUUGUUCUGCUCUGAAUGCACCCCCAAGGUUCAAGUGUUGGAAACUUAAUCCCAGAGCAGCUGUGUUGGGAGGCGGAUCCUAGUGGGAAGUGUUCAAGUCAUGAUGGCACUUCCCUCACAAGUCAGUUAAUACUGUUAUAAAAGAGGUAGAGGGAUUGUGUUCCCUGAUCUGUUCUUCUGUCAUGUGACAAUAUAGCGUCUAUCCCCUUUUGGUCUUUCAGUUUCUCAUCAUGUAAAGACACAGCACAAAGGCUUUCACCAGACUCCAGAAACUGGUGCCUUUUUCUUGAACUUAUAGCCUCUAGAAAUAUGAGAAAUAGGGCUGGGGAUGUGGCUCAAGCAGUAAUGUGCUCUCCUGGCAUGCGUGGGGCGCUGGGUUCGAUCCUCAGCACCACAUAAAAAUAAAAUAAAGAUGUUGUGUCCACUGAAAACUAAAAAUAAAUAUUAAAAAAAGAAAUAUGAGAAAUAUACUCUUAUUUUUUAAUAAAUUACCCAGUCUCAGGUAUUAUGUUAUAGCAGCAUAAAAUGGGUUAAGACUGCUGUUUAUUUUUUUCACAUCUAUAUAGUAUUACAUUGUAUGAAAACAUAAUUUAUUUAUGCUUUCUUCUGUUAAUGCACAUUUGUCUUGUUUCUAAUUUUCUUGUACUGCAAGCAGAGUUGCUGUGGACAUUUUGUGCUUAUCUUCUGAAAUACACGUCUAAAGUUUUUUUAAUAAGACAGUGGCUCUCAAACUUUUUAUGCAUUAAAAUCACCUACAUAGCUUCUUAAAACAGAUUUCUGGGUCCACCUCUCUAGUUUCUAAUUCAUUAGGCCUUAUAAUUACAGUCCUAGCAAGCUACCUAGUGGCACUAAUGCUGCUAGUUAGGCAACAAACUUUAAGAACCUCUCCUCUCUCUAGUCCAGAAGCAGAAUUGCUUUGUUGUAGUUGAAUUCAAUUUCAACUUCACUAGAUAAUGCCAAACUGUUUCCUAAAGUGAUUGUACUAUACACAUUAUAACAUAUAAUUGAAAUAUUUUUUAUUUUUUAUUUUUUCUGAUAUAAUGGAUCUAAAAUGGUAUUUUCAUUGUGGUUUAAUUUAUAUACUUUUUCCAGGCAUAGUGGCACACACCUGUAACCUAGCAGCUCAAGAGGCUGAAGCAGGAGGCUUACAAGUUCAAAGCCAACCUCAGCAACUUAGCAAAGCCCUAAGCAAGUUAGUGAGACCCUAUCUCAAAAUAAAACAUUAAAAGGGUUGGAGAUGUGGCUCAGUGGUUAAGAGCCCCUGGGUUCAAUCCCUGAUACAAAUAUAUAUAUAUAUAUAACACUCUUAUUUUUAAUGAGGUUGUACUUUUUUUUCUUCAGCUUCUUAAAUCUAACAGAUUUUAUUCUUUAGAUCAGUUUUAAGUUUACAGUAAAAGGGGGUGGAGAGAGUCCCUAUGACUACAACACAUAGCCUCUUGGCAUCAACAUGCUAUAUUAAUGUGGUAUAUUUGUUACAACUGAUGAGCCAACAUUGACACAUCACUGAAGUACACGUCUAAGAGUUUUUUUAAUAAGACAGUGGCUCUCAAACUUUUUGUGCAUUAAAAUCACCUACAUAGCUGUCUGUCAUCAGCCAAUGUGCAUGGUUUACAUUAGGAUUCAUGCUCUGUGUUGUACAUUCUGUGGGUUUUGAUGAAUAUACAGUGCCAUUCACCCACAAUUAUAAUAUCAUACAAAAUAGUUUCACUGCCCUAAAAAUUGUGUGCUCCAUCUGUUUGUCUCUCACUCUUCUUAGAACUACUAAUCUUUUUAUUGGCUCCACAUUUUGCCUUUUCCAGAACAGUGUUGUAUGAAUCAGGAUUCUUCAGAGAAACAGAACCAAAGGGGGGGGGGGGUCCACAGGGAGGUCAGUCUUUUUAGUGUUUUCAACUAAUUGGAAGAAGCCAACCUUUAUUGUGGAGAGUAAUCUGCUUUACUCAGAGUUUAUUAAUUUUUUAAAUUGCAACCAAAAUACACUUUCACAGAAACAUGUAGAAUAACAUUUGACCAAAUAUCUCUGAAAUGUGGCCUCGCCAAGUUGGCACAUGAAAUUAGCCAUCACAGUCAUAUAGUCAGAAUAAUACAGUAUGGAAACCAGGAGCUCUCUGCCACUGAGCUGCAUCCCCUGCCUUUUGUUUUUAUUUCUGAUUUUGAUGCAGAAUCUCACUAAGUUGCCCAGGGUGGCCUUAAACUCCUCCUGACUCAGAAUCCAGAAGCUGGAUUACAGGUGUGGGCCACUACCCUGGCUCCUUCAUGUCUUAUCAUGGUUUGAUAACUCAUUUGUUUUUACCACUGAAUAAUACUCCAUCGUAUGGACAUGUCAGAAUUCUAUUUGUCUAUUCACUUUGAGCUUCUUUUCAUAGGCUUUUCAAUCAUUAGUAUUUUAUUUUCUGUACAUCUUUCUAUUGCUCUGUCUUUUCCUUUUUUUUUUUUAAGGAGUUCUCUGUAUCUUUUGGAUAUUAGCCCUUUGUCUCUUAUAUGUGGUGAAACUACUUUUCCCUAAUGCUUGGGUUUUCAUUUUCUUUAUAAUAUAUUAUGAUGAAAAAUCAGCUAUUAAUUUUACUAUAAUUUUCCUUUAUGGUUUGUGGUUUUUUUAAUCUUGUUUAAUUAUCAGUGGACUUCCUUUACUUUCCUUACUUUAAAAGUUAAAUUAAUUUGCAUUGAAGUUUUAGACUCCUUGCACUUUCUAAACAGCAUGUACAUAUAUAUCUUUCUAUGCUAUUCCUAUAUAUAAAAGGUGUAGCUGAUAAAUCAUAUUUUUAAGCCUAAAAGAAAUACCCAACUAUGUUCCUUGCUACCAGGAAGGAACAAAACAGACUAGAAUUUCUUGAUUCUGUAACUAAAUGUGGUGUUUAGGAACACACACUCACACACAUACACAAAACCCAGGGAAAAUUGAUAUAAUUAAAUAUGUACUUUCUCUAAUAUAGCUGUGCUUUACUGCUGGGUACAAAUUUCUGAUCAAGCAUCUGUAGAUGUUAAAUAUGUAAAUAUUUUCCUAAUAAUAUGAUGUUAUUUUUAUCUUUAAAGGUGGGAAAAUUGACUUCUUAUUUGUAUAUGCAGAUGAGGACUGUCUUAUGGAUUGAAUGUCAUAUGAUUUAUAUGAUUUUCUAAUUUUUUUUAGAACUUUGUAUUAACAUUUUAUAUUUCACAUUAUUUUAGAGUUCAUAUAUGAUUAUAUAUGAUUGUUCAUAUGCUCUUAUAUUCUUUAUAUAAUUUAUCUAGUGUUAACAUAGUCAUUCCCAUCAACAAGUCUUAGAGACUCAGUAGAACUAACAUAAUCAUUUACAUAUAUAUGAAGACAUUGUGUAGGCUAUAUAAACCUUCACAUUCCAGCUGUCACUUUACAUGGAAACCUCCAGACCCUAACCAGGAUGUGCAAGGAGAGGGAGACCCUGAAAUCAUAUGCCAUGACUUCAACUGGAUGAGAAAAAAAAUCAUAAUAGACUAGUGUGCCUUUGAAUUUUGUUAGCUCAGAUGCUAUGGAUACUUUUACUAACAGCAGAAAUCAAGUUUGUUCUUCCAUAUUUAAUAUCAGCUCAGUUGUAUUUUCAGAGUCUUUGGCUAUAGUUCCCAAAUAGCUUUUCUUAUUUGACUGCCUGUGUGGAUAUUGUACCUCUUGCUUUGCCCUUCAUUCAUACUUGAUUUCCUGAAAUUUUAUUUAUUUUUUUAGUUGUAGAUGGACACAAUGUCUUUAUUUUAUUUAUUUAUUUUUAUUUAGUGCUGAGGAUCGAACCCAGUACUUCACAUGUGCAAGGCAAGUUCUCUAUUACCAAGUUACAACCUCAGCACUUUCCUGAACUUUCCAGUCUUUGUGUAUGAAGGAGAAUGUUGAUUUAAAGAGAAUAUUAUAUUAUGUCAAAUUCACUAAUUAGUAUAUCAAAUGUAUUUUCUUUAAAAGUUUAUAAAAGUAAGCUGGGCAUGGUGGUGCACACUACUCAGGAGGAUGAGGCAGGAGGAUCACAAGUUUGAAGCCAACCUGGGCAACUUAGUGAGACCUUUUCUCAAAAUAAAAAAGAGCUGAAGAUGUAGCUCCAUGGUAGAAGUGGUAGAGUGCUUGCCUGGCAUAUUCAAGGCCCUGGGUUCAAUCCCCAAUAAAAAAUAAAAGCUUGUAAAUGUAAAAUAUUGGUUAGAUGUGUUUGAAAAUAUUUAGAAUAUUAAUUUAGACAUUAAAAUUAGAAGAAGUAUACUGUAUUAAAUAAUUUGGGAGGACACUGAAAGAAUUCCCCACGCAAAGACACUUCGCCGGGAGAAUUCCAAUUUUAUUGCAAAAAGCUGUGUGCUUAUAUAGAACUAAGGGGGAGAUGGUAGGGCUUAGAUAAAUGGCAGGCAACCCGUUUAUUGGCAAGUUCUUUCAGAUAUCAGCUCUGGAGCCCAGGAAUUAGUUCUCAUUGGGGCUAAGGUUCCCCGCCAGCGAGAUUUGAAAUUGGCGCCAGCGGGAGAGUUCACACGGGCGGGAACUUUUCACGCCACUGCAGAAAAGAAGAAGGUAGGAAGAAGAAGUCCUUAGGCGCCAUGUUGGGGUUUUUCUCUGGGGUAUGGCUGCCGUUUAUACUUUUCCCAACAGACACAAACAGAUAAAUAAACUUCUAAGUGAACUAAAGACUGGAGAGUGUUUUCAUUCCUGCAACUGUAACAGUGAGCUGAAUCAAGAACACACUUGGGUUCAACUGAAUGGAUCUGACAAUUCAGCCAAGGCAAAAUCAUCUAGGGACCACUUUUUAUGGCCUCCAAAAUAAGUCCCCUAUUUCUCUUCUUCCUGUGACAUUUUAGUGACUAAAAACCCAUGCAGAUAGUAAUAAUAAAUAAUUCACAAGUAGUACAUAGCCCUCUAAGCCGAAGUUUGGAGGAGGAACUGUGGCAAAUUUUGAGGAAAGUUUGAGUACAAUACAAGAUAAUUCAGAAAGACUUGAAGGAUUUAAGGGAUAUUCUAAGUUAACAAGCUUCAAAAUGUCUUGAGGAUGAUAGUUGUCCCUCCUUCUGCCUGCCCUGCCCUGCCUUAGGGCUUUCCAACAUGAAAGGAAACCCUUGAGCAAAUUAGGGGAGUUAGUUGUUAAUUUGUCCCUCAGAAAUGUAAGGGACAUUUUAGUUUAAAAUUUCUCUCUGAACUCAACUAGCAUUUUUCAGUUAUCACUACCUAUUGGACUCAGAAAGUAAUAGGAACCGUUAAGAGAUCCUUUGAGAUAGUACCUGCUUCUUUAAGUAACAGGCUUUAACAAAUAAUGUUUGAGCUGGGUGCAGUGGCACACUCCUAUAAUCCCAGCAGCUUGGGAGGCCGAGGCAGGAGGAUCACGAGUUCAAAGCCAACCUCAGCAAAGCAACUCAGUGAGACCCUGUCUCUAAGUAAAAUACAAAAUAGGGCUGGGGUUGUUGCUCAGUGAUGGAGCGCCCCUGAGUUCAAUCCCUGUACCCCCCCCAAUCAAAAAAAUAACAUAAACCAAAUAAUGUCUGAGCUCUGCCACUUGGUGGCAACACCAAUAAUUGAGCUUCAGUUACCCCAUGUAUGAUAACCUACUAUUUUCAUCUUAGUUGAAUGUUUGAUGGAGGUUCAAUACUCUAGCUGGAGCUGAGAGUGGAAGGUCAUUGCUUAUGAUAUAUACUGUCAUUUCUGUUAUUUCCAAUAUGUACCUAAUCAAUUAAGCCAUCAGCAGACAGCUUGCAAAAUUAAAUAUACUCUAUUAUCCCAAUUUCUGGUUAGAGAAAAUAAAUAUGAGAAAAAGAAUAAGCUCUGCAGUCAUUAAGUAAUCAUAUCCAUGAACUGGAAGCAAAAGAGGGUUUUUAUUUGGGUUUUUUAAAUAUUCUUUGUGUAUUUUGAAAUCCAAGGGAUUGAGCCCAGGGGAGCUAUACCUCAGAGGUAUAUCCCCAGCCCCUUUUUAUUUGAGAAAGGGUCUCACCAAGAUGUCCAGCUUGUCCUCAAAUAUGUGAUCCUUUUGCCUCAGCCUCCUGGGAUUUCAGGAAUGUGCCACUGAGCCCAGAAAGAGCAUUUCAACCAUAUAUAUAAACCAAGAAUUUAAGAUAGAGGUUAAUCUUAAUUCAGCAUUUCCAGAUAAUGUUUCAGUGGAUGGCUCUGGUGGAAGCCUUUCUGCUUGAUAGUUAACAUUUUUACUUUACAUCUUAAAAGAGAUAUAAGGUAAAUUCCAAAACACCUACUGAUUCUAAUGGAAGGUCACAGCUAGUCUUCAAAGCAUGCAGCUUUUUCUAGGUUUAUGCUUUAUAAAGAAAAGGAUAUGACAAUUUUACCAUACUUUAUGAAUAAUGCUCUUAGAAAAUAAAUGGGUUUUGAAAAAAAUAAGCACUUACCUAUGUUUUUCUUAUUUGCAGCUCACCAGGACAUGAUUAUAGCUUCUCAAGCUUAUCUAAAAUAAAAGAUAAUAUAUGUAUCAACAUUUUUGAUGAAAUGAUAAUUGAAAAACAUGAGGUAAAGUAGAAUAAUUGCAAUAGUCAAUGUUCAAA